Molecule: unclassified non-coding RNA, 148 nt
Organism: Macaca fascicularis (crab-eating macaque)
Lineage: Eukaryota; Metazoa; Chordata; Mammalia; Primates; Cercopithecidae
Rfam family: Metazoan signal recognition particle RNA
About the family: The signal recognition particle (SRP) is a universally conserved ribonucleoprotein.
Source: Ensembl
GCCAGGCAUGGGGGUGCAUGCCUGUAGUCCCAGCUACUUGGGAGGCUGAAGUAGGAGGAUUGCCUGAGCCCAGGAGUUCAAGGCUGCAGUGAACUAUGAUUGCAUCACUGUACUCCAGCCUGGGCGACAGAGUGAGACCCUGUCUCUA